Molecule: long non-coding RNA, 9515 nt
Filed under: Homo sapiens (human)
Lineage: Eukaryota; Metazoa; Chordata; Mammalia; Primates; Hominidae
Description: HSALNT0402839
Source: RNAcentral
ACAGUGACCGCCACCGUUGCCAAGGGAUGGGUCCCUGAGACUUGGCGAAGUGGGAGCCCUGUGUGAUCGUGCGUCAGAGUCGGGGCUGAGACCAGCCCCGGCCAGGGUAGUUACCGGGACGGUCUCCGGAGGCCGGGAUUCGCGGAGGGUCCACCAGCAGGAAGAAACCCCAGGAGGAAGAAACCUCAGACAGAUCGCCGGGGAGGCAGCGCGGGAUCCCAGCCUCAGGCGUGCGCGGACGGUGUGCGGAGUCUAGCUUUGUACCAGGCUGCAGUGCAGUAGUGCCAUCUCAGCUCACUGCAACCUCUGCCUCCCGGGUUCAAGAGAUUGUCCUGCCUCAGCCUCCCGAGUAGCUGGGAUUACAGGCACAUGCCACCACACCCAGCUAAUGUCCAGCUAUGCAUCACCCCUUCGCUGAUGAGCCUUAAGAAAAUCCAAAUUUAUAAAUUGCUGGGUCCAUCUCUCUUUCCAUCCAGAAAAGUCAGAGCAACUGGUCUUGCUGGUUUUAAGUGUUGCCUGUGUUUCUGGCAUUGGUAAUUUUCUUUGUUUUCCUGUAGUUUUAGGUAUACAUAUAUAAUGACAUCUCCAAAAUUCAUCAAUAUUAGCAUUUGUUAUGAAGAUUUUUCAGGCAGCUGGCUUACCAUAUGGCCUAAAUCUGAUUCUAAAGUCCAUGUUUCACUUUCUCAAAUAUAAAAACUGCUUGCUAAUAAGCAUUAGAAAAAUAUUUUGAAGAAGAACAUUUUGAUAAAUAUGAUUGUACAAUAUUCACUGCAGUAAAUAACCAUUGCAUACUCAAAGGAGUUUCAUUUGCAUAUAUAACAUGAGAUGAAAACCAAUAAUAAAUGGUGACUUUUAAUAAAAUAGAUCAGAAAUAGUAUCUUGUGCAAAUAAUCUGAUGCCAGAAUAAUUACCCCUCUAAUUAGUAAAAUUCAAUAAGAAGGUAGAAUUUUCAUUUACAUGUGAUCAAAUAACUUUUUUUACAAUACCUUUGCCUUUUGAGUUCUUUAAUAAAAUACAUCAGAAAUAGUAUCUUGUGCAAAUAAUCUGAUGUGAGAAUAAUUACCCCUCUAAUUAGUAAAAUUCAAUAAGAAGGUAGAAUUUUCAUUUACAUGUGAUCAAAUAACUUUUUUUACAGUACCUUUUGCCUUUUGAAUUCUUUAUUGUUUUCAUUUAAGAAAUGUGGAAAUCUGAAACAAACUAUAUUCUCAAUCAUGUUAGAAAAAGUAUAUGUAAUAUGUAUUUUUUAAAUGUCCAGUGGCUAAGAACUUAGACUGGGUUUUGAAAUAAUAAUUUCCUAACACAGUUUCUCAGUAUGUUUCCUCUAGGCAAGAGAAAACUCUGUAAUUAUAAGAUUCUUAAUUUACCCUGGUAAUUUCAUAAGAAAAAUGAUUAAUUACUUUGAGCAAUCAGUUAUACAAAUAAUCAUGGUUCUUUAUUUAAACCACAAAAAAUAGAAAGAAAGCAGAGAAGCUUAAGCAUAAAACAUAAAGAAAAAUUCAGUCAUUUAGUAAAAAUGAAAUCAGUGUUAAAAUAUUUCUUUUGACACAGUCAGCUAACAUCUUUCUAUUUUUGCUGAGUAACUAUUAAUUAUAUUUUAAGUUCAACUAACUCUUGACACAGCAAUGGAAUUUGAAGUGAAUAUACUACUUUAAAAAAUAAAUGGUGUAUUUAGAGUGUUGACAUUUAGAAAAUGAUAGUUUUGUGAAAUUUGCAAUGUGUUUUAGAAUUACAAAUGCUAAAGUAAAUGAAUGCAUGAUUAUAUUUAAUAGAAUAAAAACAGAAGAAUUUUUUAAGUCUUGACGACCCAAGGCAGGGUUCUGUUUUAAGUAUUCCCCUUUCAAUCAACGUUACAGCUAUCCUAACUUAAAACUGCUUCAACUAAUAAUGUGUAUUUAUAUUAAAAAUGUAAUCCAUGGCUCUGAACUCUGGCUUCCUAGUAGAAUCACAUGGCAAGAUUUUAAGUAAUACUCAUUUCUUGGCUCUACUAAAGUCCAAUUAAAACAGAACUUCAGUUUUUAGAAACAGGUGUGGGUAGUUUGAAUGUUCCACAUUAUUCUAAGAUGUGGGUGAGAUUAAGAACCAGUAAGCACACCAGUCAGAAUGGCUAUUAUUAAAAAGUCAAAAAAUAGCAGGUGCUGGUAAGGUUGCAGAGAAAAAGGAACACUAUACACUGUUAAAGAGAAUGUAAAUUAAUUCAGCCAUUGUGGAAAACAGUGUGGUGAUUCUUCAAAGACCUAAAAACAGAACUACCAUUAGACCCAGCAAUCCCAUUACUGGGUAUAUAUCCAAAGGAAUAUAAAUUGUUCUAUUAUAAAGACACACGCACACAUAUGUUCACUGCAGCACUAUUCACAUUAACAAAGACAUGGAAUAGACCUAAAUGGCCAUCAAUAGUAAAGACUGGAUAAAUAAAAUGUUGAACAUAUACACCAGGGAAUAAGAUGUAGCCAUAAAAAGGAACGAGAUCAUGUGUUUUGAAGGAAUAUGGAUGGAAUUGAAGGCCAUUAUCCUUAGCAAAUCAAUGUAGGAACGAAAAAACAAAUGCCACAUUCUCUCACUUGUAAGUGCAAGCUAAAUGAUGAGAACACAUGCACACAAAGAAGGGAACAACAGACACUGGGCCCUACAAGAGGGCAGAAGGUCGGGGGAGGGAGACGAUCUGGAAAAAUAACUAAUGAGUCAUAGGCUUAAUGCCUGGGUAAUGAAUUAAUCUGUAAAACAAACCCCCAUGAUGCAAAUGUAUUUAUAUAACAAACCUGCACAUGUACCCCUGAAAUUAAAGGUUAAAAAAAAGAAACAGGGAGCAUUGCUAGGCUAUAUUGAGUAAGCACCAACUGCGCAUACUUAGCCUAUAAAAUGCCUAAAAUAUAGAUAGUAAAAAUGCCUAAAAUAUAGAUAGUAAAAAAAUAUAGAUAGUAAAAAAAAUAUAGAUAGUAAAAAAAUAUAGAUAGAUAGAGUGACAUAAAACAAGAAUUCAGAUAUAGCAGUUGUUUUUAUUUGUUUAAGAAUAAAUUCAAAAUUCAGAAUUAUAAUUGUAUACUCUUAUAAGAGAAAACAGAUUCAUUUUAUAUAAAAUAUAUUGUGCUAAUUUACACACUUUUUGAUCCCUAAUAAUAAAUACAACUCUGUUAGAUGGCUUAAAAGCAAUCUUUACAUUGCUUAGAGAACGUUAAAUAUCAAUUGUGUAUUUAAAUUUUCUACUUAUAUGAAAGCAUGCUAUUUUUCCUUAACUUUGGGUAAAUAAUUUUAUGGUGUGAUUAAACCGAUCUGACUUUUUGAAAAAGGGCAUGUUUUUUAAUGAAAUAUAAAAGAGUUGUAAUUUUAGUUAUUCAGUGUUGCGCAAACCUACUUUUUUGGCUUCAUUUGCAAAAGGUUGUUGGAUAACCUUUAUCUUUUACCACUAACUUCUUACUCUGAUCCAAAAUAUUUGGCUUUUAAAAUUCUCCUUAUUUCAUUAUUUGUCUUCAUAUUUAAAAUAUCUUCUGUGAUAUUUCACUUCUAAUUUUUUAAUAUUUUUACAUGAAAAGAGAUGAAUACUGAUAUCCCUGAUUUUUAAGAGAGGAUUUUUAUUGCCCUGUUAAUUUGGAAAUAAACAUGCGAUAAUAUGAUUUUAAAAUGCUAAAGUGGAGCUCUAGUAAUUCAACUGAAAAUAGCAUUAUGAAUAAACUAUACUGUGGCAAUUCUUUAACAUAAUAAAGGAGGACAUCAACAGAGCAGAAAAUUGAUGAAUUUUGGAAUAUAUGAAGCAUGUUGUAUCAAAUUGCCAGAGAAAGUAAUGAUUUUCUGUUACUGAACUUAGGUCACAAAGCCUACUGCCUGCUAAUCGGCAAGUGGACCUGUUUCUCUAACAAUGGCCCGAAACUUCACAACAUCAAAGGAGAAAUCAUUGCCAGCAAAAGCAUUUCCGGGUAGUAGGAAAGAAUACAAGUGAAUAACAUUAGUCCAGAAGUUUUAAUAAUAUUCUUUGCUGGUUGAAAUUCAUGUUUAAUAUGAUGUAAAUUACUUGAUAAGCAAAUUAAGAACUAUGCUACUACAGACUCCAAAUAAGACGCAAGAAAAAUGAGGGGAAAUACAUUAAAGGAAGAUCUUAAAAAACAGCUGCACAGAAGAUAAAUUAUUUUUCCAGGAGUUUUAAACAUAGUUGCUUUUGUUUGUUUGCUUUGCUGUUUUUUCUUAAUAAUUGUUUUAGUAAGCUCAGGCUGCUAUAUAAAAAUAAGAUAGGCGCUGGUCUGAACAAUAGACAUUUAUUUCUUAUAGUUCUUGAACCUGGCAAGUCUGAGGAGGGUCAUCUUCUGGGCUUUCAAAGGGCUGCCUUUUUCCUAUGUACGUACAUAGCGAAUAGAAAGUGUUAGCUCUCUGGUCUCUUCCUGUAAGAGCACUAAUCCCAUCAUGAAGACCCCAUCCUUAUGGGCUCAUCUAAACCUAAUUACUUCCAAAGGUCCCACCUCCAAAUGCUAACACAUUGAGAGUUAAGGCUUCAAUAUAUUAAUUUUGGGGAAACAAGACACAGUCCAUAUCAAAUAUAUAUAUAUAUGUAAUAUAUAUGUAUAAUAUAUAUGCAUACUAUAUAUGUAUAUAAUAUGUAUGUAUAAUAUAUAUACAAAUAUAUAUAAUAUAUAUUACAUAUACCCAAAUAUAUAUAUUAUAUAUAUUAUAUAUGUUAUGUAAUACAACUAUAUACACUCUACAAAGGCAGUGGAAUAUAGACAUACUUCAAUUGAUUGUGCUUUGCUUCACUUGGCUUCACAGAUAAUGUGUUUUUCACAAAUUGAAGGUUUAUGACCACCCUGCAUCAAGCAACUUUAUUGGCACCACUUUUUAAUAGCAUGUGUUCAUUUGUAUCUCUGUGCCAUAUCUAGGUAAAUCUCACAAUAUUUCAAACUUUUUAAUUAUAAUUAUAUUUGAUAUGGUAAUCUGUAACCAGUGACCUUUGAUGUUACUAUUGUAAUUGUUUUGGGCACCAUGAACCACAUCCAUAUAAGACAAUGAAUUUAAUCAAUAAAUGUGUGUGUUCUGACUGCUCCGCCAACUUAGACAAUUAGUUUUAGAUCUUUUAUUUAGACGAUGAGAAAAUUUAAACUAUAAAUAGGCCAGGUCUCGUGGCUUAUGCCUGGAAUCCCAGCAUUUUGGGAGGCUGAGGUGGGAGGCUCACUGGAGGCCAGGAGUUCAAAACCAGCCUGGGCAACAUAGGGAGACCUUAGCUCUACAAUUGAAAAAAAAAUAGCCAGGUGUGGUCAUGGUGGCACCUGUCUGUAUUCCAGCCACUUGGGAGGCUGAGGCAGGAGGUUUGCUUGAGUCCAGGAGUUUGAGGUUGCGGUGAGCUACACAAUGAGCUAUGGUGGCACUACUACACUCCAGCCUGGGCCAUAGAGUAAGGCCCUGUCUCUAACUGGAAGUCCAAAGAGGGAUCUACUUCCAAGACUAUUAAUUUAAUAGAUCAAUAAAUUAAUCAAGAAUAUGAUUUUUUUCUCAUCUUUAUUUGUAGUCAUAUUUUAUACAGACUUUUUGUUUAAGUAAUCUCUCUUUAUGGGCAGACAAUGAUUUCAGAAACACCACAAAUUAUUCUCAAAAAGAAAAGACGAGGAUUUUUUUUUUUUUAGAAAAUGUAACUCUUUUCAGUAGCUCUUGGCAGACCUACCCUCACAUUUUCUUGACUAAAAACAGUCAUUAAAAAAAGUCAGUCACAAACAGGUGAAUUUAAAUUAUCAUGGUUUACCUAUACUUAACAAGCUUUAUCCUCAGAGGUAAGGAUAGGGUUACUUUCCUGAAUUUUAGAUAUGUGGAAAUAUUUGGAGUUAUGUCAAUAAAUGAAAAAGUAUGAUGGAUAUAGUGCUUGCCAUGGAAUAUAUCAAAUACAGAUAUUCUGAAAACUUUAAGUUCAGUAAUAUGCCAGGGGUUCCCAAGACCACUUGAGACCUGGUAAUUUACUGGAAAUCUCUAAGGGAAUCAGAAGCUGUAGUACUCAUUGUUACAGUAUAUUACAGUAAAAACAGUACAGAUAGAAGUCAGCUAAGAGAAAAGACAAAUGAAGUGAACUCCAGGAGAAACCAAGUCCAAGCUCUCAGGUGUCCCCUCCCAGAGCAGUUGCAUGGGGACAUGUUUAAUUAUCCCAGCAACAAUAUGUAAAGUGCAAAGCAUUGCCAACCAGGAACACUCGCUGGAGCCUAGUUGUCGAAGGUGUUUACUGGGAUCAGUCACAUAGUCAUGUAAUGCCCAUAUGAUUGACCUCAGCUCCAUGACAUUUAAGCACAACUUUCUUCCUACACCCAGAGUAAAAACAGAUGUUCACAUAAGUCACGUUGAUAACAUAACCUUUUCUGGUCGAACUGGGAGAGUAUGGCCCAAGACUUCAGGAAAACAAGAACACUUUUAUCAAGCAAAAUACUCCAAGGGCUCAGAGAUGAACUCCUAGACUAAGGUCUAGUCCUGCAGAGGGACCCCUCUUUGGAAUGUACAGUAUUUGAGCAAUUCAUGCCAGUCAAGUUAAACCUUUUCACCCAUGCCUAAAUGCUAUUUAAGAAAUGUAAAUAACAACAAUGAGAUAGUUUAUUAAACAUUUUUAUUGUAAUACACAAAUAGUAUAUAGUUAAUUAAUUUUAACAAAGUGAUUGUACAUAUUUCACAAUAAAAUUCCCUUAAAUUACCAUCUGCUCCAUCUGCAAGUAAUUAUUAUUCUGAUUGCUAAUAACAUAGACUUUUUUAACCUAUUUUUGAACUUUUAUAAUAGAAUUAAACAAUAUAUAUUCUUUUCUGGAUGGCUUCUCUUACUCAGAAAUGUAUUUGGGAGAGUCAUCAAAGCUCUCUUGGGUAUACCAUUUAUCCUUCUUGCUUGAUAAUACUCCAUGUAUUUAUAUAUAUGCUAUGAUGUGUUUAUUUCACUCUUGAUGGAUAACUGCAAAACUUCCAAUUUAAGCUGUUGUGAAUAAUUCUUUAAUAAACAAUUUUGUACAUUUCCUGAAUAUGUUUAUGUGUUCCUGUUGGAUGAUAGUAGCAGAAUUAUUGGUCACAGGGUAUGCAUAUACUUAAUUUUAACAGAUAAGGUCAAAUACUUUCCAAAUUCAUUUUAACAAUUACAGUCAACCUGCAUUGUUUUAGAGCCCCGAUUGCAGGGUCAUUUUGGAUUAGUUUGUCUUUCUCUUGUUGAUUUUAAUGGAUAGUGUUAGGCUGUAAAUAAAGUUAUUUAUGCAUAGUAAGAACUUUCUCAACAAAUUUUACUCAGACUUCUGCUCUACGCUAAGAACUAGCUCUGGAAAUUAAUUCACAGAAAGAACAUGGUUAGGGGCCAUCCUGAGGGAUUUACCUCACUAGGGAUAUAUAUUUACAUUUCAAGAGAAGAUGAGACCCAGUAGAUGCAUCCCAGAAGUUACAAAGCUGGAGACUCUAGUGUUAUCUUUCCCCUAGAGAGAUUUAUUUUUAUCCAAAUGGUUAAAGUAAGAACUCAGUUUUUUUUCCGUUUUGUGACUAUGGAGACACACUCAGAAGGGGGUCAAGAGCAACUGGGUCACUCUUCCACAAAAACGCUCAGGUUCUUUUUUCCAGAGUUCUUUGCCUACAGCAGAUCCCCUUACAUGUAGGACAUCUGGUUCUCACCACAUCACCACCACGGUAAGAAUUAGUGGAAAGGAGAGCUAGGUUAAGGGCAGCUGUUUCUUUCCUUCUCUGCAGCCUCUGGUACCAAGUACUGCAUGACAUGUGUCUCACAACAUUCUCUGCCUCUGCACCUCUGUGCUACGACACUGGAUGAAUCUAUGGAGUGAGCAAUAGAAAGUCUCUGAACUGCCAGAAACAACUUCAUUUUACAUGGAAGUGGCUUUAAAUCAAACACAUUAACCUCAAUGAACUGAAAUUAAAUAUGUCUCUAUUCAACUUCCCCUUAGCUGAAUACUAAAAGUGUUGUAGGCUGGACCCGCACUACCUGACAGGGAGAUAAAUGACUAAAGGCAAAUGGGAGUCAAAACAGGUGUGGCUUUUCUUAUUUUUAAUUAAGCAUCUUACACAGCAAAUUUUGCAAAACUCAUAUGACCCCGAGAAAGACCCAUACAUAUGAAAGGUCUUAAAGAUUUAACUUUCUUAGCUUUAACGUAAGCUUUCCACUGGAUUUUCCCAUUACACUCAUUCCAUAAAGAAAUGAAAUAAUCAUAUAUCUCAUUAUAUAAUUAUACUAAAUUGAUCUCAACACAUUUUCUUAGCAAUAUAUACCAACAUUGUUUCCAAUAUUGUUUAUUACAAAUGAUGCUACAGUUGAAAUCUUUAUAUCUGAACGCUUGUGUGUGUGUGUGUGUGUGUGUGUGUGUGUGUGUGUACCUAUUCUGUGUAUAAUACUGAUUUUAUUUAUUUGUAUAGGCCUGGAAGUGGAAAUACUGUGACAUAAAAUAGAGGCACAGCAAAUUAUUCAAGAUGUCGACAAACAGCAUUGUUUCCAAGUUUUUGUUCCCUUACAAUCCUUGCCAUUGGCCAAUUUCUCAAAAUCCCGUGUUGCUUAACAUUUAGUAGCUUAGUAAAUAUUUUAAAUCUCAGAGAUUUUACCCAACUGAUACCAGGGUUUUUAAAAUUUGUUUAUAUAGAUUAAGCGUCUUUGAAGAAAUAACAGUAUGCAAAAAAUAUGGUCGCUAUUCUUCAUGUUAAAACUAUCUUAAACACUUUUCCAGAGGAAAAAAUAACAAAAUAGAAACCAAUGAAGGUCUUUUGCUUGGUGAUUACAUAUAUUGAUUACCUGUGUAAGUUAAACAGAUUGGGAAAAGGAAAUAUCCAAAAUUGUGCCUAGAUUAUAUCAUGACAUCAUGUAUAUAUGUAAAUAAGUUAAUUUUUGCAAUCGCAACAUAGAGAAAAAUGUUAUUUUAAAUGAAAAAAAUAAAUAGAACAUAAAGUAAUAUUUCAGCAUAUUAAAUUUAGGAGUAAAAACCUUUGACAUCCCUGAAAAUCUUUGGUAAAAAGUCCAGAUUAUGAUAACUUGGCUUUAAUGAACUAGGAAAUAGAUGGAUAAUAGCACACACAUUUUUAGCAUUGUAGGGAUUAUUUUCACUGGUUGUAGGAUCAACAAACUUGGUUUAAAUAAUGGUUCUGAGAAUUUAAUUAAUUAAUUUAAUACACUUUUGUUAGGAAAAUAAAUUCAUUUCUAGACACAGGAUAUUUUACAAUUGGAUCGUAUUUCAAAAAAAGAAUCACUGUGUUUUUAAUGAACAAAUGUCACAUAAAGAAGUCUUUUCAAAAAGUGCUUCAAAAACUUAAAUUUGAAAUAUAUGCAACGGAUCCACAAGGUAUCUAAUAAUUUUUAUUUUUACCAAGCUCAUGAGUAAGUUACUUAGCCCUGAAACAGUUUCGGAGAAAAAAAAAGUGUUUUAGUUUCUUUAUCUGUAAAAUAUUUAUGUGGCAAAUGAUUGAGCAAAUAUAUAAAUUUAAGCAGAUUGAUCCUAGAACUUGUUGUGUUUAAGAAUAUGGAUUAUUGAGAAGUACUUCACCAUAGUAUUUAUCACAUAGUAUGUCCUAAUUUAAGAUUAAGUAUGGUUGUAAUCAUA